GAUGAACGCUGGCGGCGUGCCUAAUACAUGCAAGUCGAGCGAACGGACGAGAAGCUGUCUUCUCUGGUGUUAUCGGCGGACGGGUGAUUAACACGUGUAUAACCUACCUAUAAGACUGGGAUAACUUCGGCAAACCGUAGCUAAUACCCGAUAAUAUUUUGAACUGCAUGGUUCAAAAGUGAAAGACGGUCUUUCUGUCACUUAUAGACUGAUCCGGGCUGCAUUAGCUAGUUGGCAAGGCAACGGCUUACCAAGGCAACGAGGCAUACCCGACCUGAGGGGGUGAUCGGACAGACUGGCACUGAGACACGGCCCAGACACCUACGGGGGGCCGCAGUAGGGACUCUUCCGGGAUGGACGAAAGGGUGACGGAGCACAGCCGCGUGAGUGAUGAAGGUCUUCGGCUCGUGGAACUAUGUUGUUAGGGGAGAACAUAUGUGUAAGUAACUGUGCACAUAUUGACGGUACCUAGUCAGAAAGCCACGGCUAACUCCGUG
RNAcentral lists this ribosomal RNA (497 nucleotides) under uncultured bacterium. RNAcentral's name for it is "partial 16S ribosomal RNA". It matches the Rfam family "Bacterial small subunit ribosomal RNA", at positions 28 to 507 of the family's 1533-position model. The record is from RNAcentral.